AUACAGAGGGGGCAAGCGUUAUUCGGAAUUAUUGGGCGUAAAGGGCGCGUAGGCGGUUUUUUAAGUCGGAUGUGUAAUCCCCGAGCUCAACUUGGGAACUGCAUCUGAGACUGGAAGGCUAGAGUACUGGAGAGGGUGGUAGAAUUCCACGUGUAGCGGUGAAAUGCGUAGAGAUGUGGAGGAAUACCAGUGGCGAAGGCGGCCACCUGGACAGUAACUGACGCUGAGGCGCGAAAGUGUGGGUAGCAAACAGGAUUAGAUACCCUGGUAGUCCACGCUGUAAACGAGGAACACUUGGUGUGGUGGGAGUUGACCCCUGCCGUGCCGGAGCUAACGCGUUAAGUGUUCCGCCUGGGGAGUACGGUCGCAAGGCUGAA
Molecule: ribosomal RNA, 377 nt
Filed under: uncultured bacterium
Lineage: Bacteria
Description: bacterial SSU rRNA
Rfam family: Bacterial small subunit ribosomal RNA
Source: RNAcentral